GGGGGUAUAGCUUAGAAGGUUGAGUAUUUGUUUUGCAAACAAAAGGUCAUAGGUUCAAAUCCUAUUACCUCCA
This 73-nucleotide transfer RNA is filed under the name Phaeocystis rex. RNAcentral's name for it is "tRNA-Ala". It matches the Rfam family "tRNA". From Rfam's summary of the family: Transfer RNA (tRNA) molecules are approximately 80 nucleotides in length. Their secondary structure includes four short double-helical elements and three loops (D, anti-codon, and T loops). Further hydrogen bonds mediate the characteristic L-shaped molecular structure. tRNAs have two regions of fundamental functional importance: the anti-codon, which is responsible for specific mRNA codon recognition, and the 3' end, to which the tRNAs corresponding amino acid is attached (by aminoacyl-tRNA synthetases). tRNAs cope with the degeneracy of the genetic code in two manners: having more than one tRNA (with a specific anti-codon) for a particular amino acid; and 'wobble' base-pairing, i.e. permitting non-standard base-pairing at the 3rd anti-codon position. The record is from RNAcentral. Lineage: Eukaryota; Haptophyta; Phaeocystales; Phaeocystaceae.